GUUAGUGUGGCAUAGUAGAUAGUGUGCUGAACUUGGAGUUAGGAAGACUUGGGUUCAAAUCCCACCUCAGAUA
This 73-nucleotide transfer RNA is filed under the name Monodelphis domestica (gray short-tailed opossum). It matches the Rfam family "tRNA". Rfam says of the family: Transfer RNA (tRNA) molecules are approximately 80 nucleotides in length. Their secondary structure includes four short double-helical elements and three loops (D, anti-codon, and T loops). The record is from Rfam by way of RNAcentral. Lineage: Eukaryota; Metazoa; Chordata; Mammalia; Didelphimorphia; Didelphidae.